GGGUCUCUCUUGUUAGACCAGAUAGAGUCUGAGAACUCUCUGGCUAGCGAGGGAACCCAC
Molecule: microRNA precursor, 60 nt
Filed under: Human immunodeficiency virus 1
Lineage: Riboviria; Pararnavirae; Artverviricota; Revtraviricetes; Ortervirales; Retroviridae
Description: Trans-activation response element (TAR)
Rfam family: Trans-activation response element (TAR)
About the family: The TAR hairpin acts as a binding site for the Tat protein and this interaction stimulates the activity of the long terminal repeat promoter.
Source: Rfam by way of RNAcentral